UACGUAGGGUGCAAGCGUUAAUCGGAAUUACUGGGCGUAAAGCGUGCGCAGGCGGUGAUGUAAGACAGAUGUGAAAUCCCCGGGCUCAACCUGGGAACUGCAUUUGUGACUGCAUCGCUGGAGUGCGGCAGAGGGGGAUGGAAUUCCGCGUGUAGCAGUGAAAUGCAUUGAGAUCGGAAAGAACACCAACGGCGAAAGCACUCUGCUGGGCCGACACUGACACUGAGAGACGAAAGCUAGGGGAGCAAAUGGG
This 253-nucleotide ribosomal RNA is filed under the name uncultured bacterium. Its description in RNAcentral is "partial 16S ribosomal RNA". It matches the Rfam family "Bacterial small subunit ribosomal RNA", at positions 524 to 776 of the family's 1533-position model. The record is from RNAcentral.